GUUGUAUAGUCAAGUAAUUAAGUGCAUGUGGUGGAUGCCUUGGCAGUCAGAGGCGAUGAAAGACGUGAUAGCCUGCGAAAAGCUCCGGGGAGGCGGCAAAUAUCCUUUGAUCCGGAGAUGUCUGAAUGGGGGAACCCACCUACUUUAAGGUAGGUAUUGCAACAUGAAUACAUAGUGUUGCAAGGCGAACGAGGGGAAGUGAAACAUCUCAGUACCCUUAGGAAAAGAAAUCAAUUGAGAUUCCCUCAGUAGCGGCGAGCGAACGGGGAUCAGCCCAUUAAGUUAUGUGUGUUUUAGUGGAACGCUCUGGGAAGUGCGAACGUAGAGGGUGAUAUUCCCGUACACGAAAGGGCACACAUAAUGAUGACGAGUAGGGCGAGGCACGUGAAACCUUGUCUGAAUAUGGGGGGACCAUCCUCCAAGGCUAAAUACUCCUGACUGACCGAUAGUGAACCAGUACCGUGAGGGAAAGGCGAAAAGAACCCCUGUGAGGGGAGUGAAAUAGAUCCUGAAACCGCAUGCAUACAAGCAGUGGGAGCACCUUCGUGGUGUGACUGCGUACCUUUUGUAUAAUGGGUCAGCGACUUAUAUUCAGUAGCAAGGUUAACCGUAUAGGGGAGCCGUAGAGAAAUCGAGUCUUAAUAGGGCGUUUAGUUGCUGGGUAUAGACCCGAAACCAGGCGAUCUAUCCAUGAGCAGGUUGAAGGUUGGGUAACACUAACUGGAGGACCGAACCCACUGUCGUUGAAAAGCCAGGGGAUGACUUGUGGAUAGGGGUGAAAGGCUAAUCAAGCCUGGUGAUAGCUGGUUCUCCCCGAAAGCUAUUUAGGUAGCGCCUCGGACGAAUACCAUAGGGGGUAGAGCACUGUUUCGGCUAGGGGGUCAUCCCGACUUACCAAACCGAUGCAAACUCCGAAUACCUAUGAGUACUAUCCGGGAGACAGACUGCGGGUGCUAACGUCCGUAGUCAAGAGGAAAACAAUCCAGACCGCCAGCUAAGGCCCCAAAAUCAUAGUUAAGUGGGAANNNNNNNNNNNNNNNNNNNNNNNNNNNNNNNNNNNNNUAUACUUUGUAUACGUGGUAGGGGAGCGUUCUGUAAGCCGAUGAAGGUGUGUUGAGAAGCAUGCUGGAGGUAUCAGAAGUGCGAAUGCUGACGUGAGUAACGACAAAACGGGUGAAAAACCCGUUCGCCGAAAGACCAAGGGUUCCAGUCCAACGUUAA
RNAcentral lists this ribosomal RNA (1221 nucleotides) under Acinetobacter baumannii. Its description in RNAcentral is "partial 23S ribosomal RNA". It matches the Rfam family "Bacterial large subunit ribosomal RNA", at positions 1 to 1368 of the family's 2925-position model. The record is from RNAcentral. Lineage: Bacteria; Pseudomonadati; Pseudomonadota; Gammaproteobacteria; Moraxellales; Moraxellaceae.